Molecule: transfer RNA, 87 nt
Filed under: Penicillium nalgiovense
Lineage: Eukaryota; Fungi; Ascomycota; Eurotiomycetes; Eurotiales; Aspergillaceae
Rfam family: tRNA
About the family: Transfer RNA (tRNA) molecules are approximately 80 nucleotides in length.
Source: Rfam by way of RNAcentral
GCCUCUGUGGCGCAAUGGUAGCGCGUACGACUCCUAUAAAAAUCGUUGGUAAUCGUGAAGUUCCAAGUUCGAGUCUUGGCUGGGGUG